CUUCCCCCUAGGGUGACGAGCGGCGGACGGGAGAGUAAUGUCUGGGAAACUGCCUGAUGGAGGGGGAUAACUACUGGAAACGGUAGCUAAUACCGCAUAACGUCGCAAGACCAAAGAGGGGGACCUUCGGGCCUCUUGCCAUCAGAUGUGCCCAGAUGGGAUUAGCUAGUAGGUGGGGUAAUGGCUCACCUAGGCGACGAUCCCUAGCUGGUCUGAGAGGAUGACCAGCCACACUGGAACUGAGACACGGUCCAGACUCCUACGGGAGGCAGCAGUGGGGAAUAUUGCACAAUGGGCGCAAGCCUGAUGCAGCCAUGCCGCGUGUGUGAAGAAGGCCUUCGGGUUGUAAAGCACUUUCAGCGAGGAGGAAGGUGGUGAGCUUAAUACGCUCAUCAAUUGACGUUACUCGCAGAAGAAGCACCGGCUAACUCCGUGCCAGCAGCCGCGGUAAUACGGAGGGUGCAAGCGUUAAUCGGAAUUACUGGGCGUAAAGCGCACGCAGGCGGUUUGUUAAGUCAGAUGUGAAAUCCCCGGGCUCAACCUGGGAACUGCAUUUGAAACUGGCAAGCUAGAGUCUCGUAGAGGGGGGUAGAAUUCCAGCUGUAGCGGGGAAAUGCGUAGAGAUCUGGAGGAAUACCGGUGGCGAAGGCGGCCCCCUGGACGAAGACUGACGCUCAGGUGCGAGAGCGUGGGGAGCAAACAGGAUCAGAUACCCGGCUAGUCCACGCUGUAAACGAGGUCGAAUUUGGAAGGUUGGUGCCCCUUUGAUAGGCGUUGGAAUGUACCGGCAACCCUAAACCCCCGCCUAUACCUCUACCCCCGCCCCUGGG
Molecule: ribosomal RNA, 830 nt
Filed under: Serratia marcescens
Lineage: Bacteria; Pseudomonadati; Pseudomonadota; Gammaproteobacteria; Enterobacterales; Yersiniaceae
Description: bacterial SSU rRNA
Rfam family: Bacterial small subunit ribosomal RNA
Source: RNAcentral